RNAcentral lists this ribosomal RNA (551 nucleotides) under uncultured bacterium. RNAcentral describes it as "bacterial SSU rRNA". It matches the Rfam family "Bacterial small subunit ribosomal RNA", at positions 355 to 896 of the family's 1533-position model. The record is from RNAcentral.
UGGGGAAUAUUGCGCAAUGGGCGAAAGCCUGACGCAGCAACGCCGCGUGGGGGAUGAAGGUUCUCGGAUUGUAAACCCCUUUCGAUCGGAACGAAUCCCCUCCUGGUGAACAAUCAGGAGGAUCGACGGUACCGAGAGAAGAAGCCACGGCUAACUCUGUGCCAGCAGCCGCGGUAAGACAGAGGUGGCUAGCGUUGUUCGGAUUUAUUGGGCGUAAAGCGCACGCAGGCGGUUUGGUAAGUCAGAGGUGAAAUUCCGCAGCUUAACUGCGGGACUGCCUUUGAUACUGCCUUUCUCGAGUGCAUGAGGGGGAAGCGGAAUUCCGGGUGUAGAGGUGAAAUUCGUAGAUAUCCGGAGGAACACCGGUGGCGAAGGCGGCUUCCUGGCAUGUAACUGACGCUCAGGUGCGAAAGCGUGGGGAGCAAACAGGAUUAGAUACCCUGGUAGUCCACGCCCUAAACGAUGGGCACUAGGUGUGGGAGGUAUCGACCCCUCCCGUGCCGCAGCUAACGCAUUAAGUCGUCCGCCUGGGGAGUACGGCCGCAAGGUUG